Molecule: long non-coding RNA, 1983 nt
Organism: Vigna radiata var. radiata (mung bean)
Lineage: Eukaryota; Viridiplantae; Streptophyta; Magnoliopsida; Fabales; Fabaceae
Exons: 8
Source: RefSeq, a predicted model, not a curated record
GUGUUUUUUUAAAUAAACGUUAUCUAUGACAAAAUAAUAGAUAAUUUUUUAAAUAAGCUCUGUCUAUGGCUAUAAUAAUAUAUAGCGCUUUUUAAAACAAACGCUAUCUUAGUCCUUCCUAACUCUCACUCACUAUCGCAAUUGCCCUUCCUGCUCCCUCACCGUCGCUCUCGCUCACCGUCGCUCUCGCUCACCGGCGCUCUCGCUCACCGGCGCUCUCGCCCACCGUCGCUCUCGCUCACUGUCGCAACGGCUUUUCGUCACUCUCACUCACGGCUGCCUCUCCUCGGUCUCACUCAGCAGGAUUAUAUUGCUUAUGGGAAAGGUGUGUGAGCCAUGACCAAUGAUUAAAAAAAGCAGAUGUAGAUUUGUGCUAGAUUUUUUGAUGCCUCCUUCUUGCCCUUCAAAUAUCAAAUUGUCAAUGUCAUGUUUUGGACAAAAUUCAUCUAGCAACACAUUAAAUAUCAAAAGCAGCUCGAAAUUCAAAGUAAAAGGAUCUCUGAAACCAAGAACAAACAAUAGUUUAAGCUCCAACUCUUAUUCUCACAAGUCGUAAAUGAAGAGAAAACCAAAGAAGAAAAAGAAGCAGCAGGAAAGAAUGUUUGUUCUGCUUAUGGUAUCAUGCAUGAAGUUCCUUGGUUUAUUAUGAUGAGUAAGGAGAAGAUGAAGUACUUGCUGGACUGUCAAAGCAUUGGGAUUUGAGAAUACCAAACUCAUAUACCUUCUUAGUACCCUAUGAAAUACAAGGGCAUCUCCGUGGAUGCAUGUGGAUGUUUCAAAAGGGCAAAGUGUGUGUGUGUGUGUGUGUGUAUAUAUAUAUAUAUAUAUAUAUAUAUUAAUAUUGUGUUUGCUGCCUUUGGUUUUAUUUUGUUUACUCACUGACUUACUGUAAUUGGACUGAAUUAGAUUGUCAAGUUACAUUCUAUAGUUUCUCCUAAGACAUUAUAGGUCCAAAUGAUGGGAUGUGUGCAUGCUUGAUGGGUUUGGUGAUAAAAUCUUUAGUUUGAGUUCACUGUAUACGUAAUUCGUGAGUUGUGUCCUGUUGCAAUAAGGCAUAGAUGCGUAUAUAUGGACAAAGAUGAAUUUUUGAGUUGAAUGAAACUGCUGAUACUCUAUAUGGGCCAAUUCAGUGGUUAGACCGAACUCAUGGCACUUGUAUAUAUGGAAAACUCUCACAGACCUGUUAUCUCAUGGCACUUGAUUCCUGUUAUUGGAUUUUCUGUGAGAAGUAAGCAUAGACCGAACAAAAUGGCCAUUUAAAAUUUUUCAUUUUGGUUUCAACUUCUCAUUAAUGUUCUUCCGUAUACAGAUUUGAAAAAUUGGAGGGAAGGCCUUUUUCAAUAUCAGAUUUUGAUUAUUUUGUGUUUCAUUCUCCAUAUAACAAGGUAAUUGUCAUGCAGGAAUUUUUUCACCAUAUUGGAAUGAAAACGAAAAGGCAGAGAAGUAUGUGAUAACACCACCUACAAUGACUCUACAUAAUUGUUUUCUUGAUGUAUUGUAGCUUGUGCAGAAAAGUUUUGGCUGGCUAUACUUUAAUGACUUCAUGAGAAAUCUCAGUUUUGUUAAUGAAGUUAUGGUUCCUUAUCUUGUGAUGAGAGUUAUCAAAGUCAUGAUCUUGAAAAGUAUCCAAAACAACUCAAUGGCAAUGAAUGUGGGUAUUACUUGUGUCGAUAUAUGAAGGAAAUUAUCACAUUUAGUGUAAGAGGGACAAUUUCAAUUGAUUAUUUUUCUAAUUGCAGAUGUCAUCAAUAUCGUGACAAUUAAAUCAUUGAAGUUAGGGAAUAUUGGUGUUUAUAUGUAAUCAAUACAUGUUUAUAGGUUAUAUUAUGGUGAUGUACAUUCUUAUAAGUAUAGAUAGGAUAUAUAUGUUAUGGUUGUAUAUAUUCUCUAAAAAACAAUGUCAUGUCAUAACAUGUACUCUCAAUGAUUAUAUUUUGAAAUAUUAUUGUAUCAAUAAUUUUUAUUCAUACUAAUGAACAUUCU